UGGGGAAUUUUCCGCAAUGGGCGAAAGCCUGACGGAGCAAUACCGCGUGAGGGAGGAAGGCUUUUGGGUUGUAAACCUCUUUUCUCAAGGAAGAAGUUCUGACGGUACUUGAGGAAUCAGCAUCGGCUAACUCCGUGCCAGCAGCCGCGGUAAUACGGAGGAUGCAAGCGUUAAUCGGAAUUACUGGGCGUAAAGCGUGCGCAGGCGGCUGGCUAAGUCGGAUGUGAAAGCCCCGGGCUCAACCUGGGAAUGGCAUUCGAUACUGGCUAGCUAGAGUUUGGUAGAGGUAAGUGGAAUUCCGGGUGUAGCGGUGAAAUGCGUAGAUAUCCGGAGGAACAUCAGUGGCGAAGGCGGCUUACUGGACCAAAACUGACGCUCAGGCACGAAAGCGUGGGUAGCAAACAGGAUUAGAUACCCCUGUAGUCC
RNAcentral lists this ribosomal RNA (426 nucleotides) under uncultured prokaryote. Its description in RNAcentral is "bacterial SSU rRNA". It matches the Rfam family "Bacterial small subunit ribosomal RNA", at positions 355 to 796 of the family's 1533-position model. The record is from RNAcentral.